Small nuclear RNA from Nannospalax galili (Upper Galilee mountains blind mole rat), 104 nucleotides. The record is from Ensembl. NCBI's taxonomy places the organism in Eukaryota, Metazoa, Chordata, Mammalia, Rodentia, Spalacidae.
GUGCUCUCUUUAGCAGUACAUAUGCAAAAAUUGAAACAAUACAGAAAUCAGCAUGGCCCCUGCACCAAGAUGGCAUGCACAUUCAUGAAGCAUUCUGUAUUUAA